AACCUCUGCAAUGCACGAAAGUGCGACAGGGCCACCCCGAGUGCUAGACGCUGAGUCUAGCUUUUCCCGAGUGUAGUAAGCUCGGGGAAUAAGCGGGGGGCAAGCCUGGUGUCAGCCGCCGCGGUAAUACCAGCUCCGCGAGUGGUCGGGACGAUUAUUGGGCCUAAAGCGUUCGUAGCCGGUCUAGUAAGUCUCUAGUUAAACUUCAAGGCUUAACCUUGAGAUCGCUGGGGAUACUGCUAGACUAGGGGGCGGGAGAGGUUGAGGGUACUUCGCGGGUAGGGGCGAAAUCCUAUAAUCCGCGAAGGACCACCAGUGGCGAAGGCGCUCAACUGGAACGCGCCCGACGGUGAGGGACGAAAGCCAGGGGAGCAAAGGGG
This 380-nucleotide ribosomal RNA is filed under the name uncultured archaeon. Its description in RNAcentral is "bacterial SSU rRNA". It matches the Rfam family "Archaeal small subunit ribosomal RNA", at positions 345 to 727 of the family's 1478-position model. The record is from RNAcentral.